UACGUAGGGUGCGAGCGUUAAUCGGAAUUACUGGGCGUAAAGCGUGCGCAGGCGGUUUUGUAAGUCAGAUGUGAAAUCCCCGAGCUCAACUUGGGAACUGCGUUUGAAACUACAAGACUAGGAUAUGUCAGAGGGGGGUAGAAUUCCACGUGUAGCAGUGAAAUGCGUAGAGAUGUGGAGGAAUAUCAAUGGCGAAGGCAGCCCCCUGGGAUAAUAUUGACGCUCAUGCACGAAAGCGUGGGGAGCAAACAGG
This 253-nucleotide ribosomal RNA is filed under the name uncultured bacterium. RNAcentral describes it as "partial 16S ribosomal RNA". It matches the Rfam family "Bacterial small subunit ribosomal RNA", at positions 524 to 776 of the family's 1533-position model. The record is from RNAcentral.